Molecule: transfer RNA, 76 nt
Filed under: Bacillus subtilis subsp. subtilis str. BSP1
Lineage: Bacteria; Bacillati; Bacillota; Bacilli; Caryophanales; Bacillaceae
Description: tRNA-Val
Source: RNAcentral
ACAAAAGAAAUGGUUCAAAGCAUGGCAAAAGAUCCAAUUAUCUUUGCAAUGGCAAAUCCAAAUCCGGAAAUCAUGC